GCGCGUGUAAGCCGCUAAAGGUUAAGCGGAGUAUGUUCUUUUUUCAAAAGUUUUUCCGAAAGUAAAUAACUUGCAGGUUCAAAUCCUGUCACGCGCA
Molecule: transfer RNA, 97 nt
Filed under: Treponema sp.
Lineage: Bacteria; Pseudomonadati; Spirochaetota; Spirochaetia; Treponematales; Treponemataceae
Description: tRNA-OTHER
Source: RNAcentral